This 250-nucleotide ribosomal RNA is filed under the name uncultured bacterium. RNAcentral describes it as "partial 16S ribosomal RNA". It matches the Rfam family "Bacterial small subunit ribosomal RNA", at positions 524 to 773 of the family's 1533-position model. The record is from RNAcentral.
UACGAAGGGUGCAAGCGUUGUUCGGAAUUACUGGGCGUAAAGCGCGCGUAGGCGGGUUUGUAUGUCGAUUGUGAAAUCCCUGGGCUCAACCCGGGAACUGCAGUCGAAACUACAAAUCUUGAAUGUCUGAGAGGAUGGCGGAAUAACCGGUGUAGUAGUGAAAUACGUAGAUAUCGGUUAGAACACCUGAGGCGAAGGCGGCUAUCUGGCGGUACAUUGACGCUGAGGCGCGAAAGCGUGGGGAGCAAAC